AGCAUAUUUUUUAUAUUGAUCAUAUUUUCUGACUUAGAUCAUUUCUACAGAUGUUCUCGUGAACUUUCCAAAGUGCAUGGUCUUCUUUGGAAGACUUGAGACACUAGGUAGUGACAAUGAAUGAGACUUUUUGUAUAGUUUUCCAUCAGGAGCACAUAUCAAGGAGCCUGAGCUUCCUUCUCCUUGCCUCAAUAGAAUUAGUUGGAAGCAGGAUUUUCAAAAUCAUACCAAACCACCCGAUACAUCCUGUAUCGAGUUAGACCGAUGGGGAAUCGGGAUGGCUCGGACAUCUAAAUUAGUUCUCGGGGGGAUGGAGAAGAAAGAGAAGAAGAGAGAGAGAUUGGAGGAGAGAA
This 353-nucleotide long non-coding RNA is filed under the name Elaeis guineensis (African oil palm). RNAcentral describes it as "long non-coding RNA (EGUI_LNC012142)". The record is from RNAcentral. Lineage: Eukaryota; Viridiplantae; Streptophyta; Magnoliopsida; Arecales; Arecaceae.